Molecule: long non-coding RNA, 589 nt
Organism: Helianthus annuus (common sunflower)
Lineage: Eukaryota; Viridiplantae; Streptophyta; Magnoliopsida; Asterales; Asteraceae
Exons: 3
Source: RefSeq, a predicted model, not a curated record
AUAAAACUAGAACACCACCUCCCAUUUCAUUUGCAACAUUUAACCAAAGAAAACAUUUUCUUUCUCUCCCUCUCCUCCCUUGUUUACGGCUCAACAUCACCAUCAUCAUCUACCCAUUUUUAAAAUCCAAACAAGUGUUUUAAGGGUAUUCAAGAGCAUUUCAAGGUGAUCUAAGGUGGUUACAAGCAUAAGGGAUCAUCAAGGAUACUAGCUUGCAAGGAUUGGAGCUUUCUUUUCUUCAUAUUCUUCAAAAGUUCUUCCAUAGCCUUGUGCUAGUUGUUGGGUGCAAACAGGAACACAACGGAUUGCUAGCACUAUAGCACCGAAAACAAGCUGGAAAUAAGAAACAUUGCAUGGUUAGGAAGUCAAGGACAAGAGUUACAAGAACGAUGCCUUUUGGAGGGUUUGCCUCAUAUAUCCCGCCCUCAUGUGGAAUAUAGGUGUCAAAGCCUCGUUUAAAAUAUCUAUAUUUUGGUUAAGACCAUUUUAUGAACAUGAAGUACUCGGUUUAUAUUUGUGAACAAAACACUUUGAUCUUGUAUUUUUAACUCAAGUAAUAUAUAUUUGGCAUCUUGUUUAUUUUUAAUCA